UUGCCUACGGGGGGCAGCAGUGAGGAAUAUUGGUCAAUGGCCGAGAGGCUGAACCAGCCAAGUCGCGUGAGGGAUGACGGCCCUACGGGUUGUAAACCUCUUUUGUCGGGGAGCAAGACCCGCCUCGUGCAGGCGGAGCGAGAGUACCCGAAGAAAAAGCAUCGGCUAACUCCGUGCCAGCAGCCGCGGUAAUACGUAGGGUGCAAGCGUUAUCCGGAUUUAUUGGGCGUAAAGGGCUCGUAGGCGGUUCGUCGCGUCCGGUGUGAAAGUCCAUCGUUUAACGGUGGAUCCGCGCCGGGUACGGG
RNAcentral lists this ribosomal RNA (305 nucleotides) under uncultured bacterium. RNAcentral's name for it is "bacterial SSU rRNA". It matches the Rfam family "Bacterial small subunit ribosomal RNA", at positions 335 to 636 of the family's 1533-position model. The record is from RNAcentral.